RNAcentral lists this non-coding RNA (319 nucleotides) under Fibrocapsa japonica. The record is from RNAcentral. Lineage: Eukaryota; Raphidophyceae; Chattonellales; Chattonellaceae.
AUGUAAAUAUUCUAGAGCAGAAAUAGUUAUGUGCCACCAAUACAAAAAGGCACACAAAACAAAAUAAUAGAAAAAGCUUUCAUCUUUUUUUGUUUUUUGUUUUUGUUUUUGUUUUUUAACACUCUUUUUUUACUGUUUUCUAAAGCAUACAGAUCUUAGGUGUAAUGCUCAAGCUGAUGGACUUAAAUCACAUACUCUGCAAGGAAGGCCCUUGAACUUGAACGUAAUUGAUUUAAUGAGCAUAAAUUGAUCCAUAGCAAAUGAUCAAUUUUAGUCUUUGAAACCUCUGAUCUCUAACAGUUGUUUCAACAAACGAGCU